This 443-nucleotide ribosomal RNA is filed under the name uncultured Armatimonadota bacterium. RNAcentral's name for it is "bacterial SSU rRNA". It matches the Rfam family "Bacterial small subunit ribosomal RNA", at positions 338 to 795 of the family's 1533-position model. Lineage: Bacteria; Bacillati; Armatimonadota. The record is from RNAcentral.
CCUACGGGGGGCUGCAGUGAGGAAUCUUGCGCAAUGGGCGAAAGCCUGACGCAGCGACGCCGCGUGACUGAUGAAGUCUUUCGGGAUGUAAAGGUCUUUUCUGAAGGAAGAACACAAUGACGGUACUUCAGGAAUAAGCCCCGGCUAACUACGUGCCAGCAGCCGCGGUAAUACGUAGGGGGCGAGCGUUGUCCGAAUUCACUGGGCGUAAAGCGCGCGUAGGCGGACUAUUAAGUUGAUGGUGAAAUCCCGGGGCUCAACCUCGGAACUGCCUUCAAAACUGAUAGUCUUGAGGUUUGGAGAGGGAACUGGAAUUCCAGGUGUAGCGGUGAAAUGCGUAGAUAUCUGGAGGAACACCCAUGGCGAAGGCAGGUUCCUGGCCAUAUCCUGACGCUGAGGUGCGAAAGCUAGGGUAGCGAACGGGAUUAGAUACCCCGGUAGUC